AGCAACACCUGCGUCUCACAU
This 21-nucleotide microRNA is filed under the name Echinococcus granulosus. Its description in RNAcentral is "egr-miR-10249-5p". The record is from miRBase by way of RNAcentral. Lineage: Eukaryota; Metazoa; Platyhelminthes; Cestoda; Cyclophyllidea; Taeniidae.